AUGGAAGGAGCGUCCCUGCGUCACUUCCGGGGCGGCCCCUUCAGAGGCUCCGGUGACUCCUGGUUGGAGCCGAGAGCGGAAGUUCCCGCGGAGCCGGAAAUCCUAGUGGGGCGGAGUUUCCUUACCCUGACCCGGAGGAGACGGUCGAGGGGUGGUCUGUGGGCGGUGGGGGUCGGUGUUUAGGAAUGUUUUCUCUGUCAGUGCCCUCAAAAUACACCAUGACCCACCUUUGGAUGCAAAAAGGUGUAUCCAAAGCGUUUCCUAGCUCCCUCGAAGACUGACCAGGUAAAAGAAGCCCAGGCUUUGCAAAAGCACCUGUUUCUUUUAAAACUUCAUUUAGAUAUUCUGUCUCAUUAAGCAGCCCUGGCUAGCCUGGAGCUCAGAGAUCCAUCUGUCCCCGCCUCCAGUGCACUAGGACUACAGGCCAAUUUUUGUGACCCUCUUCAAAUUGUUCUUGCCAAUAUGUUUGAAGGCGUGAGUGUUCCUUGAGGCGCAAGUCCAAGCUUUGAGCUGCCUUGGGAAAGAGCCAAGCUAGCUAUGGUGUCGUCAAACUUACUGCACUCCAGGCUCCGCUGUGGGCGGUCUGCUUCCAAGAGGCAAUGAGGACACCUGCAGCUUACACCCGAGGAAACAAAGCAGAUUUCAACGCCCUCCUUAAACCGCCUGGCAAGACUUUUCUUUUCUUUUUCUUUCUUUUUUUUUUUUUGUAAGACAGGUUUUGCCAGCUCAAGGACUUUCUGACUAGAGUGGCCAGGUUGCUUAUUUUUUGCUUUCAAAUGCAGAACGGGGAUCCUGAGAGUCACAUAAAACGCAUAUCUUUUAUGAGCAGUUAGUUUGUUUGCGUUUUCUAGUCUAUAUGCACUUCUUAGAGGAAAAAAGUGGACUGAGACAGAUAAGCAAGAUAUAUCCAAACUACCAUAGGCUACGGUCAAUGUCACCCCUAACAUUUUCAUGUUUUCUCGGGCUCUCUUCUAUGCUAAUAUUCUCUUAUCAAAGCCAAAAUUAGAAUCACCUGAUGACAAUAUUGUGCCACCCAACUCAGUCACGUACAUUUUGUCGGGAUGCCUUAAAAGGCCCAGAAUGUUUAUGAAUACAGUUGGUUAGCAUCACUGAAGCCUUGCUUACUUUUUGUCAGGAGCGUUUAAACGCCGGAAUCACAACCUAGAAGCUUAGCGUGGUGGUUCACGCCUGUAAUCCUGGCACUCUAGAGGCUGAGGCCGAAUCAAGGCUAUUCUGGACUACAGAGUAAAACCCGGUCACUAUUAGGUUUCAAAAAAAUCCUGGGACGAGUCUCGCACGAUACCUGUGGCUCCUCUCAGCAGCCCUCACCCCGCCCCCUAUUCUAAACGUCUCCCUCCCAGGGGCGGGGCUUCUGCUUCUCUUCCCCAGCCUGAACCCUGAAGAGCUCAGCCGUUUUGGCUACACUGCUCUCUUAGCCCGGCCACCUCUCCUGUUGGCGGCUCCUCUCUUGCUCUCCCUCCACCUCCCUCUUUCUUCUCAUGGUCGGGUUUAGUCUGCCGGCCUUGUUCAGCUUGCUUUCUCCCUUAUAGCUACAAUAAAAAUUUUCUCCAUGCUUUAA
Psammomys obesus (fat sand rat) is the source of this 1579-nucleotide long non-coding RNA. RefSeq lists it as uncharacterized. Lineage: Eukaryota; Metazoa; Chordata; Mammalia; Rodentia; Muridae. The record is from RefSeq and is a predicted model, not a curated record. The transcript is spliced from 2 exons.